RNAcentral lists this ribosomal RNA (253 nucleotides) under uncultured bacterium. RNAcentral describes it as "partial 16S ribosomal RNA". It matches the Rfam family "Bacterial small subunit ribosomal RNA", at positions 524 to 776 of the family's 1533-position model. The record is from RNAcentral.
UACGAAGGGGGCUAGCGUUGCUCGGAAUCACUGGGCGUAAAGCGCACGUAGGCGGACUCUUAAGUCAGGGGUGAAAUCCUGGAGCUCAACUCCAGAACUGCCUUUGAUACUGGGAGUCUCGAGUUCGGGAGAGGUGAGUGGAACUGCGAGUGUAGAGGUGAAAUUCGUAGAUAUUCGCGAGAACACCAGUGGCGAAGGCGGCUCACUGGCCCGAUACUGACGCUGAGGUGCGAAAGCGUGGGGAGCAAAAGGG